RNAcentral lists this ribosomal RNA (253 nucleotides) under uncultured Oscillospiraceae bacterium. RNAcentral's name for it is "partial 16S ribosomal RNA". It matches the Rfam family "Bacterial small subunit ribosomal RNA", at positions 524 to 776 of the family's 1533-position model. The record is from RNAcentral. Lineage: Bacteria; Bacillati; Bacillota; Clostridia; Eubacteriales; Oscillospiraceae.
UACGUAGGGGGCAAGCGUUAUCCGGAUUUACUGGGUGUAAAGGGGGCGCAGACGGCGAUGCAAGCCAGGAGUGAAAGCCCGGGGCCCAACCCCGGGACUGCUAUUGAAACUGCACAGCUUGAGUGAAGUAGAGGUAGGCGGAAUUCCCGGUGUAGCGGUGAAAUGCGUAGAGAUCGGGAGGAACACCAGUGGCGAAGGCGGCCUACUGGGCUUUAACUGACGCUGAGGCACGAAAGCGUGGGGAGCAAACAGG